ACUACAUAAACAUUCAUUAUCUUUAUAAUUAACCAUCUAAAGCUACCACAGUUCUUCAAUCAAAGGUAUAUAUCUACAUAUAUAGAGAGAGUACACUUCAUAAUUUCGUCCCUUGUUUUCCGUAAACGUAGCACAAAAAUUUGAUACCCAGUAUUGUAAGGCAGGUCGUAGAAGCAGUCUUCCUGCACAUUUAAAAAUAAUAACAAGUCAAAAAAAUGAAACAAAUAAGUCACCAGAGGCACUUAGUGCCAAAAUCAAUACACAAAGACAAAGGAAUAAUUAAUCUUCAAAGAAGUAUAUAACAAUACUUUUGGCCAUCUCAUGUAGCACUACACCAACUGACCAAGGUGUUUUUGUACAAAAAGAAAAACAAUUAUACAUAACAAAUGAAACUAAACAUAACCCAAUUCCUAUAAAAUUCAAGAUACGGAACUUAACUUUCAUUAUAAGAGAGACAAAAUACAGGAAGAAUCCAGUUGACAAAAAGUUAACCAACAUGUAUGUUAGUGAUUUCAAAGAACAAAAGCACUAGCUUGCUCCACUGGUAAGCGUUUUGGUGGCAAAUGCCACAUGUUUGGAUUGAUAACUCUUGAUCCCAAUCUAUCAAUGCAGUUGUUAUAGACAACUGUUGCAUUGAUUAGAAAAGAGGUACUCAAUAAAGACCACUCCAUAUUGGCACUUAAAUAUGCAGCAGGAAUGUUUGCCCAUGGUACAAUUUUCCAACAACCCCACGGCCAAGAGUGAAAAAGAAAAGAUGCUGUUAGAUAUGACAUAUAAAGAAUCCUGGCAUUUAAAAAAGUUUUAAUGCAGUGAAAGCACCUGCAAUAGAUGCAUUAUUUGAUCUUGGAUCAGCGAGACAAGAGGCAAAAUUACCAAUGUUAUCCCUGGGCAAAUAUAUGCAGGGAGCUGCACAAAAAUAGUAUGCAGAACAUGUUAACUUCUACUUCAGAGAUUAUUCAAAAUUUGUACUUUCCGGUUCACAAGUAAC
This 988-nucleotide long non-coding RNA is filed under the name Panax ginseng (ginseng). RNAcentral's name for it is "long non-coding RNA (PGIN_LNC008026)". The record is from RNAcentral. Lineage: Eukaryota; Viridiplantae; Streptophyta; Magnoliopsida; Apiales; Araliaceae.